This 571-nucleotide ribosomal RNA is filed under the name Marinobacter gudaonensis. RNAcentral's name for it is "bacterial SSU rRNA". It matches the Rfam family "Bacterial small subunit ribosomal RNA", at positions 93 to 659 of the family's 1533-position model. The record is from RNAcentral. Lineage: Bacteria; Pseudomonadati; Pseudomonadota; Gammaproteobacteria; Pseudomonadales; Marinobacteraceae.
GAGCGGCGGACGGGUGAGUAAUGCAUAGGAAUCUGCCCAGUAGUGGGGGAUAGCCCGGGGAAACCCGGAUUAAUACCGCAUACGCCCUUUGGGGGAAAGCAGGGGAUCUUCGGACCUUGCGCUAUUGGAUGAGCCUAUGUCGGAUUAGCUAGUUGGUGGGGUAAAGGCCUACCAAGGCGACGAUCCGUAGCUGGUCUGAGAGGAUGAUCAGCCACAUCGGGACUGAGACACGGCCCGAACUCCUACGGGAGGCAGCAGUGGGGAAUAUUGGACAAUGGGGGCAACCCUGAUCCAGCCAUGCCGCGUGUGUGAAGAAGGCUUUCGGGUUGUAAAGCACUUUCAGUGAGGAGGAAAACCUUCUGGUUAAUACCCAUGAGGCUUGACGUUACUCACAGAAGAAGCACCGGCUAACUCCGUGCCAGCAGCCGCGGUAAUACGGAGGGUGCAAGCGUUAAUCGGAAUUACUGGGCGUAAAGCGCGCGUAGGUGGUUUGAUAAGCGAGAUGUGAAAGCCCCGGGCUUAACCUGGGAAACGGCAUUUCGAACUGUCAGGCUAGAGUGUGGUAGAGGGU